Molecule: long non-coding RNA, 271 nt
Filed under: Capsella rubella
Lineage: Eukaryota; Viridiplantae; Streptophyta; Magnoliopsida; Brassicales; Brassicaceae
Description: long non-coding RNA (CRUB_LNC003483)
Source: RNAcentral
GGUACAAUAUAUCAACGAAAUUAGUACUAUAGUAGCUAGUAGUUUGGAGUUCCAAAAAAAGUUAGAUUUAAUUUGAGUACUUGCGCAGAGCUUUACGUACGUAAACAAAAUGAAAGCUUAUGAUAUUUUAAAAAAAAAACAAAAAACUUAUGAUAUUAAAAUAAUGUCGCAGUAGUUUUUCAAAAUAUAACGAGCAGCAGCGUCGUUGAGACGCCUUUUACUCUCACAUGUGAAUAGAGCACUCUUUGCUUGAGCCAUGCACGUGCGUCGG